GUCGGUUUCACCGAGUUUCAAGUAAUACAGUCACAUACAGCAAUAUCUCUGGAGGAUGACAUUCAAAAACUCUCGCUCACGACACCAUCUUGGCCGCGCCCCCGGACUUCCGUCAUUCAAACUUCACAGAGAACAGUUCUGGAAACAAUGGGCCUGCAGAGGAAGGUCGAGCCCAGCAGGCCAGAACCAAGUGGGACCAUUUAAAGAACAAGAACAAAGUAGCUGCAGGGUUGCUAAUAUCCAGGGACAGGAGAGGGUCAUUGGGAGGCCCAGCACUGCUACUGUGUCCUGGUGUGUCCUCAUGGAUGAGGUGUUAGGACAGAGGUCUUCCACUGGCCCCCCCGUCCUAACUGCCUCCAUCCCUGAGGACACACCAAGGCCAGGUGAACAGGAGGAGGAGGAGGAUGAUGAUGAUGAGGCGGAGGAGAGCCAGCCAAAGCCGAGGAGGAAGAGGAGGAGGGAGGAUGAAGGAGGACAUGAGACUGCAGAGAGGAUGCUGAGACUCUUCUCUUGCACAUUAUGGCCAAUCGUUAAAUUGUUUCCAUUAUUAUUUACUUAAUUUAUGAGUUCUUUUUAAAUUGUUUGUUCAUAAUUGUUCAUUUUAUAUAAUUCAUGAAAUGAUAUAUUGUUCUAUUGUUACACGUUGUCUAUUCCAUUCAGUAUUUACAACUUAAGUACAAUUUAUAACAGGGUUAGCAAACGGCACCAAGUGCUACUUUUCAGGGACAACAGUUGCAUUAACGUUAUGUACUGGUAUGUUAAUUACCCCUUUUAGCUAGCUAAUAAUGAUAACAAUGAUAACAUUACUGUGGGUUCAAAUAACAGGUUUACCACUCCACUGUCCUCUCAACUGGAGAUAAACCAGGAAUUCCUGUAGCUCAAACAUAUUUGAGAAUCAAACUCUAGUCUUCUUGUCACUUUCGGAGGCCUAGGUGGAAUAAAUAGGGACGUAAGGGUAAGAGUGGGAACAUCUGGUGACACAACCAGAAAAUGCUCUGAAGGCUAGACCAUCCCAUUUAGCAAAGGUUGACACGGCCUUAACAGGUCUCUCCGAAGGACUCGCCUUUGAAGACUGCAAAGGCCGGGUUCUUCGACUGAUGCAGACCCUAGUUGGGACCAAGCAUUUACUAUUCAAAAGGUCAGAGGUCAACGUCACUGUGACAACAUCACCUUCAGGAACCUGACUGGAGAGGAGAUGAACGACCAUGAUUAGGAGAUUUAAUAAAACAGAAAAUCACUUUAAUGUUAAAUCCCUUUCUGUCGCUCAACUAAUUGAUUGAUCGAUUAUUGAUUUCAAGAUUGAAUUAUUUUGUCUUGUCACAUUAGGAAAUGUUUCAUUUCCACUAAACCUUCAGAUCGGCUUCAAUAUUUGAUGAUCCAUGGAAUUAUUAAAGAUGUUUAAUGUAAUAAACUUUAAAAUAAAUCAACUGAUGUCAAACAAAAACUCAAAUCAGCUUUACAUGUCAGCUCAUUGAUAUUAGAGUGACAGUCAGCUCAUUGAUAUUAGAUUAUUGAUAAGGUCCAUUAUUGUUUGAGUUUUCAUUUGUUGUCUUCCAACAACAAUAUCUUUGGGUUUGCUAACAAUCUAAAUAAACAGCUACAUUAUGUUAUAUAUUAUAAACACACCUGAACAGAAUCUUAAAGUGAAACUCUCGCCAAAAAGCAACCAAGGCUUUACUUGCAAUUGAAUAUGAGUGAAACCUUCGUGUAAAAACAUAUUUACGUCAAAAGAGGCAGUUUUAAGAUUUACCAUAGUUUUGUUUUUGGGCAAGAUAAUUUUCAAUUUUUUAACAUUCUUUUUUAUUUCAGUUCAAUUUGGAUGUUACAUCUUGAACAUAUCUGAAAUAUUUUACAUUGAAUGUAGUAAAUUACUUAAAAUAAAGGCACAAAAGACAAAAAGGAAAAGUAAUAAAUACAAAAAAGGAAACAAUAAGAAAAAAAAAAAAAUCACAUAUAGGGGAGGGGGCGACCACUGACUAAAAGUUGUAGUAACCUUACGGUGAAUGAUGACAACGUUAUGCCACAGAGUAUAUGUCUCUACUUAGUCUAAGGAUAGUGUGAUAUGUGCCUUGACAUAAUCCAGAAAAGGUCCCCAUAUCUUAUUGUAGUUUUUUGCUGAUCCUUUCAGAGAGUAUCUCAUAUUUUCAAGUAAAGUACCUCCUUGACCCAGUGUGUAAAUGUUGGGGGUUUACAGUCCUUCCAUUUGAUCAAAAUCAGCUUGUCUGAUCAGGAGCAUGAGGAAUGCAACACUAUUUGAUUGUACCCUAGUUAGACCUAAAUGAUCAGGUGCAACCCCAAAUAACCCAACUAAAGGGCAUGGUGAAAUAGAUGUCCCAGGAAGCCUGACAUUAUAUCAAAGAUGGAUGCCCAGUAAUGAUUUAGCUUUGGGCAAGACCAGAACAUUUGUGAUGCUGGAUUGCACUUACAUCAAUCACAUAAUGAGUCUGCAUCAUGUUUAAACAAUCUGAGUUUAGUCCGAUGGAUGUGAUGCAAUGUCUUAAAUUGUAGCAACCCAUGUCUUGCACAGACUGAUAAUCUAUGAACUCUGCUCAAGGCAGUCUCCCAAGAUUCGUCACAAAUGUGUUCCCCAUGUUCACCUUCCCAUUGAGAGGGUAAAUGUGCAGAUUUAGAGAACAGGUCGAGGAGAAACAACCUAAGGAUCAUCAGCGGUGCAGAAGGGGAAGAGGGCAAAACUCCCCUUUUAGAGCAUUUACUGUAACUUCCACCUCGGCUAAGCUAUUGCUAGUCUUUGUGGCGGAGUCCUCCACAGUGGCUAGUCUUUCCUCUUGGAGAUUUAUGGUCUGCUGUAGGGCUCUUGUAGUUUUACUCAGCUCUGACUUGACAGCGUCAAUAUCAACUUGGAGUCCCUUAACUGAGUUACAGAUGUCCGCUUUCAAAGACUAUAUUAUGUCUCUGGGCAUAGUUGCUGUUACCUCCUCUUCCUUGCUAGCAUGAAUGGUUUGGCUAGCAGAAGCAGAAGCUCCCUGCGGUGUUUUUGCCUUAAGUUUGCCUGUACCCCACAUUCUUGGGCCUGAGAACUUAAAGUUUUUGCUUCAGAAUGUGCAAUAAAUGUCCCGCAACUAUUUCAAAGUGAGACAUUGGCUAAAUGGUCUUUUUUGAUUGACUGAAAUUCCACCUGUUGAGAGCUGCUGAAUUUCACGUCUGCAUCUC
Long non-coding RNA from Acanthopagrus latus (yellowfin seabream), 3171 nucleotides. RefSeq lists it as uncharacterized. The transcript is spliced from 3 exons. NCBI's taxonomy places the organism in Eukaryota, Metazoa, Chordata, Actinopteri, Spariformes, Sparidae. The record is from RefSeq and is a predicted model, not a curated record.